Molecule: non-coding RNA, 218 nt
Organism: Pelobates cultripes (western spadefoot toad)
Lineage: Eukaryota; Metazoa; Chordata; Amphibia; Anura; Pelobatidae
Source: the annotation of a GenBank genome assembly
CCUCUUUGGUGCACAGCAGUGCUCUUGAAUUGGUCCAUCUAUAGGGAAUGCCAGCGGUUUGCAGGGGCUGCGUGAUGGUGCGCAUUGAUUUCCGCCAUAGGAGCGUGGCUUUGCUGAGAUCCUGAUAGAAUGUGAGUGAGUGAUUCUCGAAUUGGAACGGGGUUUUCCCCCGCAGAGCCUGCAGUAAUCUUUGUUUAUCCGCAAAGGAUCGGCAACAG